This 577-nucleotide ribosomal RNA is filed under the name Cronobacter sakazakii. RNAcentral's name for it is "partial 23S ribosomal RNA". It matches the Rfam family "Bacterial large subunit ribosomal RNA", at positions 2259 to 2831 of the family's 2925-position model. Lineage: Bacteria; Pseudomonadati; Pseudomonadota; Gammaproteobacteria; Enterobacterales; Enterobacteriaceae. The record is from RNAcentral.
UGGUGGGUAGUUUGACUGGGGCGGUCUCCUCCCAAAGUGUAACGGAGGAGCACGAAGGUCAGCUAAUCCUGGUCGGACAUCAGGAGGUUAGUGCAAUGGCAUAAGCUGGCUUGACUGCGAGAGUGACGGCUCGAGCAGGUGCGAAAGCAGGUCAUAGUGAUCCGGUGGUUCUGUAUGGAAGGGCCAUCGCUCAACGGAUAAAAGGUACUCCGGGGAUAACAGGCUGAUACCGCCCAAGAGUUCAUAUCGACGGCGGUGUUUGGCACCUCGAUGUCGGCUCAUCACAUCCUGGGGCUGAAGUAGGUCCCAAGGGUAUGGCUGUUCGCCAUUUAAAGUGGUACGCGAGCUGGGUUUAGAACGUCGUGAGACAGUUCGGUCCCUAUCUGCCGUGGGCGCUGGAGAAUUGAGGGGGGCUGCUCCCAGUACGAGAGGACCGGAGUGGACGCAUCACUGGUGUUCGGGUUGUCAUGCCAAUGGCACUGCCCGGUAGCUAAAUGCGGAAGAGAUAAGUGCUGAAAGCAUCUAAGCACGAAACUUGCCCCGAGAUGAGUUCUCCCUGAGACUUUAAGUCUCCUGA